Long non-coding RNA from Cuculus canorus (common cuckoo), 2222 nucleotides. RefSeq lists it as uncharacterized. Lineage: Eukaryota; Metazoa; Chordata; Aves; Cuculiformes; Cuculidae. The transcript is spliced from 3 exons. The record is from RefSeq and is a predicted model, not a curated record.
CUUUUGGUGCAUUAGCAUUUGUCUUCCCUUUCUUUUCCUCUUUCCUUUUGAAGGAAGGGAUUAUUUGUUACAAGUUACUAAACUAUUAUGUAUUUGAAUAUUAUGUAUAGGUUUUUUUGUGAUUUUAGGACUAAAAUAUAGGAUUAGCUUGAAUAAUAACUUUUAACUAGCCCGUGCCUGGAUAUUUAUGCUUACAAAGUGUUGGCUAUGGAGUGCAUUACAAUUUGUGGAUGUGACAGCCUUGUCAUGGUUCUGCCCCAGACAGCAACUGAGUGGCGCUUCUUCCCCCGGGGUAGGUUGGGAAGUAGAAUCAGAAAGAGAUAGAUAAAACUUGUGGUUUGGGAUAAAGGCAGUUUAGUACAACAGCAAAGGAAGAAGAAAAAAAAGAAAACAAUAGUAAUAAUAAUAAUAAAGUUACAAUAAAAGAAUAUACAAAGUGAGUAAUGCACAGUGCAAUUUUGCUUUCUCUUUCUCCAGGCUCUCCAGGAACUGGAACGUAGCCUUCCAACGCAGAUAGCAGCCAUCCUGGAGGCUCCCCAUGACACAGCUGAUCUUCUCAGUCCCCUUGGAGCUGCUUGACAGUGGCCUGGAUGUGCUUCAGCAGCUCCUCACCCUGCUGCAGGGAGGAAGAUGACAAGGCCGUGACAUGCCAGGGGAGGCUGACUGCCAAAGGUUACUUGGCCAGUGCCCACAGGCUAUCGAUGACUGUAGGGCAUUUGCCCCAAGGCUUUAAUUUCCUUCCAUGCUGCUGACUUGAACAAGCCAACCUAGGGGGUAGCGAGGGGCUCCCCCAUGUUACAGCAAAGCACAACCAGCCUUGGGUCCUGGCAGCUGCUUCCCAAGCCCACCAUGCUGGCAUCUCUCUACCUGGUUCCUUGCCACCUUGGCCGCUGCCUGCUGAGACAUGAAGGAGUCCCUCUGCUACUGGAGCAGCUGCAGGAAUGGGAAAAGGAAUGGGCUCUGAGAUGGGAUGGAUGCAGCCAACAAGCCUAGGAGCCACAGAGGCUUGACUGCCCCAUCCAGCCCCUGGAUAUGUCUGGGAACUCCUCCAGGACCACCCCACCGAGCCAGCCGGCAGUGGGAGCGCUGCCCCCAGACUUCAGCUGUGCCUGCAACUGGUCAACUAUCUUGGCUACCAACUGCUCCAGUGUGGCCUUGAUUGUCUUCCACUGCUCUCCCAGCUCCUUCAAUUCCUGCAGUGUGGAAGUGGCAUAGGCAGGCUUAGCCUCCAUGGGGUUGCUGGGAGGGUGUCCCUCACUCCCCAAAGAGGGAUGUUCCCAGCCUCCCUGUGCUCCCUUGCAGCCCCACAGUGUAGGAAGCCCUCACCUGUCCUUUUACCCCAGUUGCAGGGUGAUCUGAAGCCAAUCCCAGGGGCAAAGAGACGCUGCCAACCCCUCAAUGACAGUGCGGCCCUGGAGGGCAGCGAUAACCACCACUGCCAAAGCGGGGAGUGACUCAACAGGGGCCUGCCCCAAGGCGAGUGAGCCUUUACCCCAGCUGCCAGAUUAAGUCCUAGUUGGGCUUUGGUCCUCCCAAUUUUAUCCCUGCAUAACCUUAAACCACCUUUGUAGCCCUCCUGAGUUGCUGGCCACUUCUUCCAAAAGCCAUAAACUCUCCUUUUUUCCUUGACCUCCAGACAGAGCUCUCUUUUCAGCCAGGCUGGUCUCUUUGCCACCAGCUUGUCUUGUGGUGCAUGGAGACAUCCUGCUCUUGUGCCUUUCAGAAUUCCUUUGUGAAGUGUCCAGCCUCCCUGGACUCCAGUUCCCUUCAGGGCUGCCUUCCACAGGGCCCUGGGAACCAGGCUCCUAAACAGGCCAAAGUCUGCCCUUUGGCAGCCCGAGGUGGCUGUUCAGCUGAUCCCCUCUUCAUGGCUCCAAAAUGAAAACCUCUGUCCUUUCAUGACUGGUGUGCCCAAGACAGCCUCCAACAAUUCCAUCACCAGUGGGCACCAGUCCUUUUCUGUUCUGAACCACAGGUCCGGUGGGCACCUUCCCUGCUCAGCUCUCUCACUAGCUCUGUCAGGAAGUUCUCCUCCACACACUCCAGGAACCUCCCGGACUGUUUCUCCUCUGCUGCAUUGUACCUCCAGCAGACAUCUGUUGCUAAUGUCCAGCCUUGAACACUUUCCUGUCUCACUGACUUGGUAUUUCUUGACGGAGACCAGCUCACAGGGACGCCUAAAUCGACAGACGGACUACCGCUCUGGUGGCAAGUAGCAACAU